Molecule: unclassified non-coding RNA, 375 nt
Filed under: uncultured bacterium
Lineage: Bacteria
Description: contains 16S-23S intergenic spacer region
Source: RNAcentral
UCCGGUUUGUCACCGGCAGUCCCAUUAGAGUGCCCAACUGAAUGUAGCAACUAAUGGCAAGGGUUGCGCUCGUUGCGGGACUUAACCCAACAUCUCACGACACGAGCUGACGACAGCCAUGCAGCACCUGUGAAAGUGCCCCGAAGGGAAACCGUGUUUCCACGGCGGUCACUCACAUGUCAAGCCCAGGUAAGGUUCUUCGCGUUGCGUCGAAUUAAACCACAUGCUCCGCUGCUUUUUCGGGCCCCCGUCAAUUCCUUUGAGUUUUAGCCUUGCGGCCGUACUCCCCAGGCGGGAUGCUUAAAGCGUUAGCUGCGGCACGGGGGGGGUCGACACCUCCCACACCUAGCAUCCACCGUUUAGGGCGUGGACUAC